CUGCUGCUUCUUUUUCAAUGUUUUUGUUUGCAGAAAGCACAGUGAUUUCAGGACAGAAAUACAAGUGGUAUUUUAUCUACUGAAUUUUGUUGAAUAAUUUAUGAACACUUUUUAAAAAUAUAUACAUAUAUUAACUUUUAAAGCAAUGACUGGCUGUCAGGUUAGUGUUUCUUUAAAAGUGACUCUCUCCAUCCAGAACAGAAGAUGGUUUUGGAGUAGUUUUCUUUUCUCCCUCACUGGAGCAGAAGGACCAUAAAUGUUAUGAACAAAAACACUGGAAAACUGAACAAUCAAAAAUGUUAAAGGCAUGAAUGCUACGUCUGGGAGAUGAGUGAAUGUCAUUGCAGAGCCAUACCUGCAUGUUUUUGAAGCAGUCGGUGGUGUGAAUAUGAAGGUUUGUUCUUCUGCUCUGGAUUAAACCUGUUUGAAAAUGAAGGAACAAUGAAAAGACUGACACAAUGGCCACUGGAGCUGUUUGGAUGAAGAAGCCUAUAAAUACUGCCUUUACAGAUAUGGCAGAAAAAUAAUUAAAAAAGCACUCAGCUAAUGUGAGACCUAGAUGUGAGGGUGUCCAGUGAAGAGGAUUUAACCCCCAAAGACUGAGCAUUCAAGGCCCCCCGAUUUGAGCCUAACAUAACUGACAGAAAUUGAUGAACAGACAUUUGACCACUCUACAGGCUAUGUGACUUAACUGAAGCAACUGCUCCCUUGACAAUAUGUAUCGAUCCCUUCUGAACAUUUGAAAUGAGAGUAGAUCCAGCUUCAUGUCAUCCUUUCUGCACUAUGCUGGAGCUCCCCUUAACUAUGGGAACACUAAAGGCCAGGCCUUUGGUUUGUUUGUGCCCAGCGGGUGCAUCUGGGGCCCCUGCGGCCCAGCCUGCCCACUCCUGCUCUGCGACUGUGUCUGCUGUGAAACCUAAUGUGACACUAAGACAUCAUAAUCCUCAUCACUGUGCCAGCUUGCCGCUCUGCACUGGAAACUAGCUCUGACAGCCAUGACCUUCCAGCCUGAUUGGACCAGUGACCCCUGACCCUCAGCCAUAGAGAUGGUGCUCAAAUCCACCACUAUUACAUGCAGACCUCUGGACUACUGUAUUAAUACUCUGUCAUGGACACAAAGGGUUUCUGCUUAUGUCUGUAUUUCUUCUCUUAAACCUAUAUUAUCUCAAAUAGGUCACAGUAAUUUAGCUCUUUUUUGCAUCUUUUCUCUGUUGUAUAAUAUUUCUUUGUUUUGAACUCUUUAAAGUUUGAUCAGUAUGAGUUUAUGAGUUUGUUCUGACUGUAUCAAUACCUCUGUCCCAAUCAGGUGCACAUUAGCCUCAACUUCUCAGGCAUCUUUCAUUUCCUCUGCUGUUGAUUGUUCAGCCACUCAGCCCUGAGUCACAUGAUUGUAAUCAGCUGGCGAGGAGGGACAAUAAUGCCAAGAUCCCAUUAUAAUCCCAGGAGGUAUUUGGGAUGCUGUAUUUGCAUGCUGCAGUAUAGAAAAACAUUGCAAUAACACGCUUCAACUCUAAGGUCUGCUGACUUUACCUCGUGACACACUCACCAUCCACUUUGUUAAAAAUCUGAUGAUCUCACUGGUCUCCCACCUACAGUAUCUAGUGAAAACUAAGUUAUCAAUGACACUUCUGUUGAGUGCUUUAGGGCCUGAUUGCUUUAUGACAUUUAGAAGGUGCUUGAAGUACUCUUAUCAAAAAGCCUUUUGGGCUUAUAGGCUGCACACGGUCUGCUAAAAGUCUGUGUCCUUCCAUGUGAUUAUUCAGUAUCGCUGCAGUGUAAUAAUAUCCACUCCAUUUUUUUUAAGAUAACCAGUAAUCUCGUGUGUCUGGUAUGACUUGCUUAAGCAUUCAAAUCAUCUUUCCUCACUUCCCUCAGGGACCCUCUACAUAACAGUUUCUCCUCUUGAUAAAGAGGAUCGGAGACUUGUCAGUUACCUUGUCUUCUUCUCUUGUAUCAGUUAUGUGGUGUUUCCACAGUAAAAUGGGUCAUUCUGUCUUUUAUCUUCCAAAGCCAUGCCAGUAAGUGAAAGCAUGUCAUCUAUCAUCUACUAAAUGUUACCUACGAACAGGCGUAGUGCAGUGCAGUUCUGAACAAAAAAGCUCCUAAAUGCAAAAGUCAGUGAUGUCUGAUUAAAAAUAACGUGUCACCAAUCAUUGAAUAGCCUGCAUACCUCAUUGAAGGCACAGCAAUAGGCCCUGGUACUCUCUUGCCAAGCCUGCCGGUGAGGUGAAGAGGGAGGAUCCAGGUGGGAAUGAAGCCAAGAGGAGAUGAAAUUGACUUGAUAGGACGUUUGUUUCAUCUUCAGCUGUAAAUACAAGUUGAAAUGGAGAGAAAAAAGUCUUUGUUAAACUAUUUUUAUUGUUCUGAAAAUAAAGAAUGAAUGGUA
Molecule: long non-coding RNA, 2386 nt
Organism: Monopterus albus (swamp eel)
Lineage: Eukaryota; Metazoa; Chordata; Actinopteri; Synbranchiformes; Synbranchidae
Exons: 2
Source: RefSeq, a predicted model, not a curated record